CGAUUGAUAUCUUCUGUCGCUCCGCCAAAUUGGAAAUCGCUUUCAGCAGUUCCAAAUCCUGCUUCGAUGUCAAAUGAAGUUCGGUCGUUAUUUGAAUGUAAAGAAUGAGAUCCACGAAGAAGGACUUCUUUGAGAGAAGGUGAUCUUCGAGGUUCAUUAUCAGUUGGUACCUUCAAAUGAUCUUCCACGCUAUGGUUAUCAUCACCUUCACCCGAAGCGAUUGUCGGUACAGUCGAUUCAACGAUGGAGAAACUGCGAUCACUAACUGAAGGUGUUCUAGUUGACAUUAAAAGUUGCUCUGGAUCAGCAUUAUGUUGGCGAAGGACUUCUUGAAUGGGUGUUUCGGGUAAAAUCUCAGAAACUUCACUCAAAAGUAUGAAAGGAUUUUCUAAAGCUUUCUUCUUUUCUUCCAUAUGUUGAAGGAAUGUUUUUCUGAUGAUUGAAGUUUCAACCAAACCCAACAACUUUUCCAUUCUAAUAGAUUUUUCCAAUUCCGAAAGUACGUACGCUCGGCGAAUGUAGUCAGAAAUAGGAAAUGCUUCACGAUGAUCAACAAUUUUAUGAAGUACAACUAACAUCAAUAUAUUCGAAAAAGAAAUGACGUUGCCCGGUAGUGUCAUAAUCUCUGUACAGAGAGAAUUCAGUACGUUUCUUCGCUCUUUCACUACGUUUACAUCAAUAGUAUCAAUAAUUUGGUCUAGCGCCUCUAAGUUUAUUUCAGAACCCAUCAAGGGAUUUUCGAGCAUUGGGACAGAUUGCUGCCCAGUUUUACUCUGAACUUUGGAGAUAAUGCUUCUCAAUGUAUGUUCAUCUCGAUAUAUUCUGAAAUCAUAGACACCCCUUAGCGAAAGAACAAAUUUUACAGCAUUGCGUUUGGGAAUAUAACCGGUGACCAUGGGGUCAAAAGGUGCCCAUGAAUCCUUAAAUUGUCGGAAAUCGUUACGCUGCAAAUUUGUAAACGAGGAAGAUUUAGUAUGGAUGUAGGAAAAGUUGUCGAAAACAACAGUAAUAAACAUAUUAACAAAAAUGUACAUUGAGAUAAUAUUCCAAGCAAUAAACAAUCCAUAAGCCCACGGUUUGUUACCGCAGUCUGAAUUGUAGAAAUCGUCACCAUUCAC
Molecule: non-coding RNA, 1118 nt
Organism: Schizosaccharomyces pombe (fission yeast)
Lineage: Eukaryota; Fungi; Ascomycota; Schizosaccharomycetes; Schizosaccharomycetales; Schizosaccharomycetaceae
Source: the annotation of a GenBank genome assembly